Trifolium pratense (red clover) is the source of this 475-nucleotide long non-coding RNA. RefSeq lists it as uncharacterized. The transcript is spliced from 2 exons. Lineage: Eukaryota; Viridiplantae; Streptophyta; Magnoliopsida; Fabales; Fabaceae. The record is from RefSeq and is a predicted model, not a curated record.
AAAAAAAAAAAAAAAACUCUGUUUCUGUCUCAUUUGAGUUGACUUGUUUAAUACUAUUGUUUGUUCUUUCAGUUUGUUGUACUCUUCCCUCCAAAACUGUGUUCCAUUUCCCUCCAAACCCUUUCGUCUCCACCGAGAGAGAAUCUUCAAAUUCACAUCGAAGCUCUGUUUCGCGCACAGUCCCUUUCCUCUCUCACUGUGUGUAUUAUUUGAAUUUUACAAAACAAGGAUCAACAUUCUCUAAAUGAAGAUCAUGUGUUAGGAAAAAGACAGUUUCAACUCUUCAUGAGUGGAUUCUCAAGUGUAUGGAAAUAGGUAUUCCUUACUUUAAUGUUAUUCUUUUGAAAGAGUUUUUUAUGUGUAUGCAAUGUGUUAAAAAAUUGAAAGAGUCUUCUUUGGAUGGGGAUGAAGACUCACUAGGACAUCACUGAUUUUGUGUUUGCUUAGCUUAAUUUCUUACUUACUUUGACAUCUA